This 159-nucleotide ribosomal RNA is filed under the name Trichomonas vaginalis G3. RNAcentral's name for it is "5.8S ribosomal RNA". The stretch from base 1 to 137 matches the Rfam family "Eukaryotic small subunit ribosomal RNA", at positions 1671 to 1831 of the family's 1831-position model. The record is from RNAcentral. Lineage: Eukaryota; Parabasalia; Trichomonadida; Trichomonadidae.
GCCCGUCGCUCCUACCGAUUGGAUGACUCGGUGAAAUCACCGGAUGCUUACGAGCAGAAAGUGAUUAAAUCACGUUAUCUAGAGGAACGAGAAGUCGUAACAAGGUAACGGUAGGUGAACCUGCCGUUGGAUCAGUUCUAGUUUUAAUAACUAACACGA